RNAcentral lists this ribosomal RNA (452 nucleotides) under uncultured bacterium. RNAcentral's name for it is "partial 16S ribosomal RNA". It matches the Rfam family "Bacterial small subunit ribosomal RNA", at positions 28 to 507 of the family's 1533-position model. The record is from RNAcentral.
GAUGAACGCUGGCGGCGUGCCUAACACAUGCAAGUCGAGCGAUUUACUUCGGUAAAGAGCGGCGGACGGGUGAGUAACGCGUGGGUAACCUGCCCUGUACACACGGAUAACAUACCGAAAGGUAUGCUAAUACGAGAUAAUAUGCUUUUAUCGCAUGGUAGAAGUAUCAAAGCUUUUGCGGUACAGGAUGGACCCGCGUCUGAUUAGCUAGUUGGUGAGGUAACGGCUCACCAAGGCGACGAUCAGUAGCCGACCUGAGAGGGUGAUCGGCCACAGUGGAACUGGGACACGGUCCGAACUCCUACAGGAGGCAGCAGUGGGGAAUAUUGCACAAUGGGCGAAAGCCUGAUGCAGCAACGCCGCGUGAGCGAUGAAGGCCUUCGAGUCGUAAAGCUCUGUCCUCAAGGAAGAUAAUGACGGUACUUGAGGAGGAAGCCCCGGCUAACUACGUG